GUGGGGAAUAUUGGACAAUGGGCGAAAGCCUGAUCCAGCCAUGCCGCGUGUGUGAAGAAGGUCUUCGGAUUGUAAAGCACUUUAAGUUGGGAGGAAGGGCAGUAAGCUAAUACCUUGCUGUUUUGACGUUACCGACAGAAUAAGCACCGGCUAACUUCGUGCCAGCAGCCGCGGUAAUACGAAGGGUGCAAGCGUUAAUCGGAAUUACUGGGCGUAAAGCGCGCGUAGGUGGUUUUGUAAGUUGGAGGUGAAAUCCCCGGGCUCAACCUGGGAACUGCCUCCAAAACUGCAUGACUAGAGUACGGUAGAGGGUAGUGGAAUUUCCUGUGUAGCGGUGAAAUGCGUAGAUAUAGGAAGGAACACCAGUGGCGAAGGCGACUACCUGGACUGAUACUGACACUGAGGUGCGAAAGCGUGGGGAGCAAACAGGAUUAGAUACCCGGGUAGUCC
RNAcentral lists this ribosomal RNA (450 nucleotides) under uncultured bacterium. RNAcentral describes it as "partial 16S ribosomal RNA". It matches the Rfam family "Bacterial small subunit ribosomal RNA", at positions 354 to 796 of the family's 1533-position model. The record is from RNAcentral.